Molecule: long non-coding RNA, 12585 nt
Organism: Eubalaena glacialis (North Atlantic right whale)
Lineage: Eukaryota; Metazoa; Chordata; Mammalia; Artiodactyla; Balaenidae
Exons: 6
Source: RefSeq, a predicted model, not a curated record
GCUGGGAUGGAGCGCGCCGUGGCCCGCUGGCCUUGGCCGCAGCUCCUCGGGAGAGCCGGGGCGCCCGCGCGAGAACCUCCCUACCUGGGUCUCUCUUCAAGGAUGACAUCAUCCGUUUGCCUCCCUGUCUUCAAGGACCACCUCUGGAUGCCAAGUUGAUGCCAAGGUUCUUGCUGCUCACCUCCACCUCAUGAGCAUGCUAGGAGCAUGGAUUCCUGGAUGCCACCAGCAUACAAAGCAGCCACUGGCAGUGACCCCCAGGACCAGGACGACGAAGGAUGAAGAGGACCAGAACUGACCAGCUGUCCCUCUUGGCUAACGGCUUAAACCAAUGCCCUAGUGAGGGGGCAUUGGUCAUUAACGCCGGACCUUUGCUAUGCUUCUGCCUUGAUGCUAUGACUGCUUUUCUAUGUGUCUCUGCUUGUGUUAACAUGUCAGCGACCUGGAGGGUUUCCAACCCCAGGGAGGUGUCAGUCUUUCUCAGUCCACCCUGUUGUUACCCCCGUGAUGUUCUGAAUGGAAGAGUCCCUUUGGGAACUUCUCAGGAGGGGGACCUGGGCCAAGGGCUUGACCAGCAUCUCACUGGCAAUUCCAAGGCCCAGGGUGGGCUUCUGGAAUGAGCAUGUGCCCCACGCCAUGCUACUGAACUGCCAAGGGCAUCCCCACCACCUUUGAGAUCACCCUGUCCUUUCUGGGGAACGGGGUUGAGAAGAGCAACCUCCCAGGGUGUUGUGAGUAUUGAAUGAGUCCAAGCAGCCUCGGGUAGGGCCAGGCAUAGAGGAGGCAGUCAACAAAUGUUUGUUGAAACAGUUUGGUUGGCCAGUCCAUCCCUACCCCUCUCACCUGUCUUACACCUCUUAUUUAUUCUCCCACAGCGCUCCGGACAGCCCUAGUCCACGGGGCUCUCCCUGCACCAGGUAGGGGCUGCACCCAGAUGGGUGCUGGGCUGACUUGAGUAAGGACAUGCAUGGUGCAUGUGGUCAUUUCCAGAGCACUUUCGAUGUUCUGUGCCUAUGUUAUUUCUAUGUCCGAUGUCCAUGUGAGUGAGGCCACCUCGUUUACAGGUGAGAAUGAAUUUGGCAUCGAUUUGAGUAAUUCUAAAAGAUGGAGAGCAAGAAGACAUAUUUGAACAGAGUGCCCCUGCCUAGGGGACGGGACUGAUUCACACUUACAGUGAGGUCACUGAGGCUGGAGGAGCGUAAGCAUUUUGUCACGUUGCUGGCAAGAGAAGGGGUCAGAGUUGGACCCUGGGUGCCAUUUGUGGCUGCCCCUUACCCCCUGCCCCAGAGUUAUACUAAGAGCCCUUUGAUUUCCAAUCAAAUGUUUGACAAUGGGGCAGCCUGUUUGAAAUCCCAGCUGCCCAGGGUGGUCUUGGGGGUCUUGGGUGGCCCCAAUGCUGGUACCAUGUGCUGGCCUCACCUCUCAAUAACGGUGUGACCUUAAAUAUGUUGCUUAACUUCUCCAAGUCUCAGUUCUUUUCAUGGCCUAAAUGGGGAUUAGGGGAAAAAAAAAAAAAAAAAAAAAAAAGCAACACAAUAAAACACCCGCAUUUAUCUACCCCACAGGGCGCUUUUGAAGGCCAAAUGAUGUAACCACUAUGAAAGUGCUUUGUAAAUUGCUGUGGAAAUUGCGAGAUACUUAACACCAGGAAGCUGUCCCUGAUUAUCGCAUGCCCAGCCCUGUCCCCCCUCAGUUAAUAACAGCUAGCACCCACUAGGUGCUGUGUUUGCGCUCAAUAAAUAAAUUCCAGAAGAAAUAAAAACAGAAUUAAUUCAACAAACAUUUUCUGGACCGCCUACAAUAUGCCCCGCACACCAGGCCUGGUAUGUGAUACAAAGAUGAUGAAAACAGUCUCUUGGAAGCUAAUUGGGGUCCUCGUUUGACCAGCACUUUCUUUCGUCCCCUUUUAAGCCAACCAGUUUUGUCCGGACGAGACAAAAACAACUUGGGCUGCUUUAGAGAAACCCGGCUUGGUGUAGACAAUAGCUCCCGGGCUUCUGAAAGGGGCUGAUUGGAUUAUGUGGCAAAUGAAGGUGGAAGGAUGACUUGGAAGGUGACAAAUGAAGUGGGCGGAGAUCUGCUGUGAGUUAAUCCAGGCUAUUAGGAGGGACCUUUUGUCUUCCAGAGGCUGGCAGGAGCUUUUACCACUGGGUUUUACAUCCUUAAUGUAAGGACGCAUAGUUUAUGGUCAGUGAAAACCCAGGCCCCAGCGAGAUUUGAGUGGGCUGUAAAAUUGAGCGUCCUGCUACCAGUGAGUAAUUACAGGGAGCAUUUAUGUCUCCCUUUGCAGUUGGCAAAGGCCUUUUUGCAACCAUCAAUUCAUUUGAACCUCACAACUCCCUGUCCUGACCCGGGGCUGGCCUGAGCCUCCUAGGGGAAGAGGCCGUCAAGCGGCCUUCAGAUUAGGGCAUCUGAGGCAUCUGACAUAGUAAAGGGAGAGGCGUCCCCUGCCCUGGCCCCUCCUGUCUCAGACCUGGCCUUCCCGGCCAGCAGCGAUUCCCUCCGAAUUCCUAACUUUGCUCUGUCGGCAGCUCUGAGCCUCCGGGCCCCUCCUGCCCUGCUUUCUAGCCACUCUCUCUUUCCUUUCGCAGCCAAGCUUCUCGAAAGGCCUGUCUACACUCGCUGUCUUCCUUCCUCACCUCCAAUUUCCUCUCCAACCCACUGCUUCCUGACCUCUUCUACUCCGCUGAUCGGCUGUCACUAAGGUAAUGACUUUUCUGGAGGUUAACCCUGGACACGUUUCCGGCUCAUGGGCACAUGACACACAGACACGUAUCCAGUGUUUCUCUCACAUUUUCCAGCUCCAGUCACUUCUAUUGACAGACACGCCCCUGUAGACUUCACAGAGUCACCUGCUCCUGGCCUUCCUCCUUCUUAGUUUCUCCUAGGAACUGGAGUAUCCAGACCCCUCACCUUCUAGAACCUGCCUCUUAGCAUCUCACCCUGGGUUGGAGUCUAAACCACCUAGAGCUGAGGCCUUGGGGUAGGUCAGUUUUUCCAAGCCACCUUUUUCUCAGUUGCAGAAUAAGGUGUCUUUACCUGGCAGGUCAGGUGGGCCGUCUUGCAGGUAAGAUUUUAAGUCCCACUAUUUGAGGGACUUGAAAUAAGUUCAAUAAAGUGUUCACGAGAAAAUACAAUUGGGGUCAUCAUCAGAUUUUCUUGUAGGUUAAGUUCCCACAGGGAGGACCAAAGAGAGAAGAAAGAAGUAGGGGGAGGGGGCAGUGGGAGAGAAAGAAGCAAAGAAUAGAAAAAGGCACCAAAGACAAAAAAGUAGGAAAGGGAGACUCAGAAAAUAUGAAAACCCACCAAAAAAAAAAAAAAAAAAAAAAAAAACCACAUCCAGAGAAAGAGGUUUCUUCUUGGGUUAGGCAAAAAGAAAGUAAACAGGAAAAAGGUUUAAAAUUGAUUAUCCCAGUGACAAAUCCCAGGAAGCUUUCAAAUCAAAUUGCCCCAUUUUGGGUUUUUAACUCCUUCUAUCAGGUUUAACCUCUUUACCUCCUGCAUCCUGGUUAAACGCUCCUCAGCCCCCUCGGCUGGUGAUUAAAUCCCGAAGCUACACGGAGUCUUUCAAUGAAUGAAUGGCCAACAGAAAGAGCCCUCCCCCUCCCCCCAGCUGUGUUUUUCAGUUUUAUUCCACUUUCCGCCCUUUUCCGUUAAUGAACACAGGGCUAAUCUUGGGCCUUGUCAAGGAAGAGGCCGCAGACGUUAAUGAGGUAGCUGCUGGAUUCCAAUAUUCGCCUCAUAAGGAGCCUUCUUUGUCUGGGAAGGAAAAACACACUGAUUAUCAUAAUAAGUGCCGCAGGGCCGCGGCCGCAGGGCACGGGCUACGUGGGUCUGAAGCCACACUUCUAAUUUUGGUGCUGGAGCCCAGGAUUCAUUUUGCUUCCCAUUUAAGUCUCUGCCUCUGUCCCAGCUCGCAAUCCAUUGAGCGGGGUGGAAAGUUGCAGGCAGCUUUGGGCCACAGAUAGGGCUGCUUUGCAGAAAGUUCCUUUGUUCGACCCUACACGCAGACCAGCAAUGGGCCAGGGCGUUUCAGGCCUCUGGGAUCCGUUUUCCAAAAGCAGAGAGAUGGGGGUGCAUGUUUCCAACUCUGCCUCACACCAGACUUGUUUUUAGGACUCACUGGUGUUGAGUCUUUAAGAUCCCCAAAUGGUAGAAAAGUCAAGGCUUAGGCGUAGACCCCGUAGAAUGAUCGCAGGGUCAGUGCCCGUGGAAUGCGCCUUCCAGGUCAGGAAAUGGAUGGGUAUUGGUACCCCAGUCCCCCCACCAAGGGAAGGGCACGGUUGGGGCUCACAUUUGGCCCCCACAUAGGAUGAGAGGGGUGAGAGGGCCAGCUAUUUGUCAGGACCACUCAUCCAGCACCAGAACCUGUAGUCACUCCUUUUACCCCCUAAAUGUGCCGCUCCCAUAUGUCCUGCAGGCCCCGCCCCCAAAUUCUCCCUUUCUGUCCUGAUUCUUGGACUCCCAGGAGCCCAUGAAUGUCUUUAUUUUUAAUUGUUAUUACCUUUUUUUUGGCCGCACCCUGCGGCAUGUGACAUCUUAGUUCCCCGACCAGGGAUCGAACCCGUACCCCCUGCAUUGGAAGUGCGGAGUCUUAACCACUGGACCACCAGGGAAGUCCCCCAGUAAUGUUUUUAGAGCAAGUGUGCCUGAGUUGGAAACUUCCCAGCUGCCUAUGCACACGGGACCCCUGUGCCCCACUCUUCCAGCCCAGAGGUCCUGUCAGGCUUCCUGAGUGGGCCCCGUGACUCCCAGGGCCCACUGGUCUCAGCAGCCACCAUUAAGUCAAUCCCAGAGGCUCAGGAGAUCCCCUCGACACCAAUUCUUGUGAUUUUCUUUUUUUUCUGCUUUUAUUGCCCCCUUCUUUUCUCCAUCUACCUUUUCUUCUCAACUCCAUCACCAUUUCCUCAUCUGGGCCUCUGGGGGUGUCCUAGGCGAGCCACUCCUCCUUUGGGUGUCCCAGCACCAGCCUGGCACAAAGUGGGGUUCAGUAAGAGUAUGUGGGAUGUAUGUUUGGACAGGUGAGUCAAUGAAGGAACUUGACUGCCAUACUUGAGCUGCUAGGCGGGAGUUGUUGAGGAUGCAAAAAGUUUUAGGUCAAAAGGGUGGAGGGUGGAUGUCCUUUUACCCAGAGGAGUGGGCGUUGCCCCACCCCCAGCCCCAUUUGAGUGGGGGCCUCACCAGUCUCACCCCUUCGUUCACUCAUGCGUCCAUCCCGUCAUCCAACAGUUGAUCCUUACUGAACAAGCCCACGGCCCGGCCCCGGGCUGGGCACCUGCCACCCUAGCGCAUCCCUUGAUGGCCUCUGCGUCCCCGGGGGGUGGCGGGCCAGGGGGUUGCUUCUGCCCAGGGUGGCCUCGUGGCUCCCGGGCGCGGGAGCAGCGGACUCCCGCUCUGCAGGCAAGGCAGGCGGGGUGGGGUGCGAGGGGCGGGCCUGGUUUGGCCGCUUGGCCCCCUUUUAAUUCACACCCCGGGGGGCGGGCGCUGGCCGCGAACCUGCCCUUCUCCAGGGCUCGGCCGCAGGUCCCAGUCAGCCCCUCCGGCCCUCUUGGCCUCCCACCCCAUCCCGUAGCUGAGUGCUCAUGGCUGAUCUGGACCCCCACACCUGAAGUUCAGGACUGAGGUGGUGGCACAGGGGCAGCUGUGGUGUAUGUCCCCUUGGGCUCUGGCCACACAGGUCUCCCUCUUGAGUUGGGGUCCGUGAGCUGGACCCCUCCUUCCAUGAUGCCUUCCUCCCCCUGGGGCUAAAUCCAGCUCCUUUGCCCCCCACUUGUGGGCUGGGCCAUGUCCAAUGUCGAGGGCCCCUGGCCGGGAACCUCCAGGGAGCACUGCAGGCUCCGCCUCUGCCUGGCUGCCCACCUGCUCUGCUCUCCCUGGCGGCUCCUCCCCUGGCUCCCCCCCCACCCCUUGCUAGGUUGACUGCCCACCUGGGGCUCUGCUUGCCCGACCUGACCCAUUUCCCCUUCUCUGUGCCCCAGUCACUGGGCUUGGGACCCUCUGGGUCUCACCCAUCCAGCCCUCUGCCUAACGGGUUGGUUUUCCUCGCUGAGCCCACACCUGUGGUUACCUGGCCCUGCCUGCUGCCCCGCCCACCUCCCACCUGCUUGCCUUUUGCCUGCCUCUCCCCCAGAGCAAGGAGGCCCUCCCCCUCGGGGUCUCCCAAGUUUCCAGUUGGUCUCCAGUGCUCAUGGCACAAGCCCCGCUGGCAAACCACCUCCCCUACCAUCCUCAGAGGCCUCCUCCCAUGGGCCUGGCCUCCCAGGCUCUGAGUGCCCAUGGGCUGCAGCCAGACCUUUGUCCUGCUCCCUUCCCCCCACCCCAAUCCCCCCAGACCCCUUGUCAUCAUGUCCUACCGGGCCUGCCUGUACGGCCGUCCUGUACCCGCGAGUCCCAGGCUCUGCCUUGCCCGCGGCCUCAUGGCCGGUCUGGGGGCUGCCACCUGGCCUGUCGCUUUGCUUCUUGCACCUUUUCCUGUCAUUGCCAUCCCUACGAGCCACCUCCCUCCACCGAAAACCAGGCUGCAGGUCAGCCUGUCCUCGACACCCUGGCGGCGACAGUCGGCUGAAGAACUGGAUGGAAGAGGCAGAAGAGUUGCCCUGGACCAGCGCUCCUUCAGGACGGUCACCUGGCAUCUCAUGCCCACCUGGUGCCUCGCGACUCCCUCCUGGUUUGGGCUGAAGCCGUCUCGAAUCCUCCGUGGGACAUGACCGUGGACACGCCACCCCAUUACCCUCCAGCUCCAAAAUCACUUCAUCACGUCACUGCCUUGUGUCUCAUUGAGCGGCUAUGUCAGUCAUUCACCACAUCAACCUGCUAUUGUUACUAUUGCUAUGCAUAAUUCCUCUUUUUUUUUAAUGUUACAAAUUAUGCCACAGCUAAUGGCUUAGCACACCCACUUUUUUUUUUUCAUUCUUACGAAUUAUUUUCCCACACCUAGAAAUGAUUGUUGUUUCAUGGUAUGUCAGUUUCUCCUGCUAGGCUGUGAGCCCCUUAAGGGCAAGAAGCUUGUUGAAUUGAUCUUUGUAUCUCUAAUGCCUGAAAUGUUGUCGAUGCUAAAUGUUAGAUGAGAGGAUGGAAGGAUGGAUGAAGAUGUGAGUGAGUGGUUGGUUGGCUGAGGAGGAGAGGAUGGAAGGAUGGAUGGAGAUGUGAGUGAGCAGGUCAGUGGUUGGCUGAAGAGGAGAGGAUUGAAGGAUGGAUGAUGAUGUGAGUGAGUGGGUCAGUGGUUGGUUGGCUGUUAGAGGAGAGGAUGGAAGGAUGGUUGAAGAUGUGAGGGAGCAGGUCAGUGGUUGGCUGAGGAGGAGAGGAUUGAGGAUGGAUGAUGAUGUGAGUGAGUGCAUGGUUGGUUGGCUGUUAGAGGAGAGGAGGGAAGGAUGGGUGAAUAAAAGGAUUGGUGAAUGAACAAAUGAACUUCUUAGGGUUGAGUUUCUUGAAUGAAGGGCCAGGAAUUUUUGUAUGAAUAUUGACUAAUAGCAGAAAGCUUACAGCAUUUUAUAAUGUCCAGCGAUGUAUUAGCAUUUUGUUAUGAUGUUGCUAGUUUAUCUCUGUUAAAAAGUGUUUUUCUGUCAUUUUAACUUGCAUUGCUUUGAUUACUAAUGACGGUUGAACAUUUUCACAUGUGUUUGUUAAAAAAUUGCAUUUUAUCUUCUGUGAACUGUUUGUCCAAGUCCACCGGGUCAUGGCUUUGUGAUGAGACUGAAGGAUGGAACGAGUGUCCUCAGGACGUAGUGAGCCCUUCCUCACUGGAGGCAUUCGAGGGGCAGGCCAGGCAGAUACGCGGUGAGGGUGGCUUUAAGGAGAUUCAAUUAGUGGGAGUGGGGUUGGCCUAGAUGACCCUUCAUUUGACCUUAGGAUUUUGCUUCUUCCUGGGAAAUGGGCAUCUUCCCUUUGUCAACCCAGCAGUAUCUAAGGCCACAUCCCCCUGGUGGGCUUGUGCAUUAGUGAUUUACAAACUCUAACCUCACCCUCUAUAACUCUUGUGGGGCAGGACUAUCUCUUUGAUCCUCCAGGGUCCAGACAACUGUGCUACCAUCUUGUAGAGUUAAGUGGUGGACUUCCCACCCGCCCCCCUUCCCCAUUUCACCUUGAGGAGGACGGGCCCCUGCACCUCCAUUUGCCACCUCUCAGCGCAAUCAGCUGAGGCGAUCAGCUGCCGUUUACGUUCCAGGGGUCCUGUGAGCAAAUGUCCCCUAGGCCUGCGUGUUGGUCUUUGGGGUUUAAUUGAUUAAGGGGACAUGUCGGAUCAGGUCUGAUAGUGAAUCCUCCUUCAGAAAUGGGACAGUUCAAUUCCGUGAGCCAAGGAGCAGAAUGGACCCCAUGUUCUCCUCGGGCUUCCCCUCAUGGUCCGCCCCAAGGCUAGCUGGGGCUCAAAGGUCACCGUGGCCAUUCGGGGAGGGCACGUGACCCAAGGAGGGCUUGCCCCUGCUUUCCAGAACACCCUCUGCUCUCAGCCGAGGGCCGCAUCUUCCCACUGACCCUCUACUAUAGCACCGAGUGCUGUUUGCCUGCAUCGGAAUUUCUCACCCACGUGUUUGCCCCAGCAUCGAAGCUUGGGAGGCCAGUGAUGAGUCCCAACAUUAUUUUGAUCCAUCCAUCCAUCCGUGCAUUUGGCCUACAUCUCUUGACCUGGUGCUUUGGCCUUUCCCUUUCCUGAAAGCAAACCUUUUCCUCUUGGGCAGGCUGUGUAGUGCCAUGGGCUGUGGUUAUGAAGUGAACGCCCUUAUUUGUGGCUUCUUCCUCCGGGGUCACUGCUCUGAGCACGUCCCAGCUGGAUGUCAUCCGCCACCGUCACCCACACGGCUUCCUUCCCCAUGGCGCUUUCCCAUGCAUCACACACCGUGAGGGAACCAGGGCCAGGGUCCGAGAGCGGCCCCCCCUCCCCCGCCCGUGAGCAGAGAUGUCCCCCCAGGCCACCCUGCCUGGUGCAUGGUCCCUGCCAUGAGCUUUGCCCUCAGCCUUUCAGCUUCCUCCCACCAGAUGGCAGUGGUUGUAACUCAUCCCUUCAUUCUUUCAUCCCUUCAUUCGUUCACUCAGUCCACAAACAUUUGAAAAGAUCCGCCGGUGCUAUACUAGAGCUGGCUCACGGGACGCAUUCCGACCGUCCCCUUUCGAAGGAAAAGACGGGCAUGUUUGCCAGGGGCCAUGUUUGUGUGUCAGUAACAAGGCGGGACCCUUGAUUUAGCUCCCACCCCUAGACCCGAGUUCUGUGGAAAGUUUGAUAGCCCUCUCCGACUUUGUUCCUCCCCAAACUAAGUUGAUUAGUAAUCAGCAAACUGUGUUCCUUGGUGCUCAGAAAUCAUAGCCCGUAGCCUCAAGAGGCCAGAAUGAGAGCUGGGGGGUCUGAAACGAAAGGCUGAUUCUGGCCGUGAGCAGGCUUUCAAGUCAUUAGAACACCCUGAUCUUGCACAAAGGGGAACUUAGAGUCAUUCCUGCCCCUUUGAGAUUUGCUAACUCUGGGCUCUAUUUAGAAAAAAUUGGGGAAGAUGAUUGCUUGCUUGGAUGGCAAGGAUCGUGCCCCAUGCAGGGUCUGCACAGAACAAUCUACUGGCACAACAGGGCAUCCGAGGCACACAGCGCUUGGCGAACCCUGGAUGCAGGUCCCAGGCCAGGUGGCAUCCACCACCGCCCCCCCCAUCUCCAACUUAGCUCACUGCUACCUGCUUGGGACAAGGCGUAGAUCUAGGGGCUCUACUGAGAAUUCUGUAUUUGAUUUAUUGCCUUGGACAGUGGGGGUGGUCGACAAAGCCAGGACCCUGGAGCUGGACAAACGUGUGGUUUAAACUGACGGUGACAGCUUGAGUCUGUCUCCUGGGGAGAUCAUGGCACCCACCUCGCAGGGCUGUUGUGAGGAUUGAUGUAACCAGGAUUUUGAACUGUGAUUCUGAAAGGGUGUGCGCGUGCCCCCAGGGGUGGGCUGGGGGCGGGAUGACAGGCCGGGAGGGGCAGCCCGAUUUGGGCAGGUUAGCGGGAAAUCAUUUUGUCAAACACGCAGUGGGUAUUGUGGGAACGAAUGCUAAAUUUGUAUGGCGUUCGAAGGUUAGGCAGUUGUAAUUUUGGCAGGAACCUUCGUGCUGGGUAAUGAUGACCCCUUUGGGCAAUGCCCUGGACCCCCUGGGGUACGCGUUCACACCUGUCUCCGGAAUCGGAAUCGGUUGGAAGGCCCCAUCUGUGUCUUGCCUACCGCUGUGUCUGGCCUGUGGGCGGCGCUUAUCCUCCACGAGAGACCCCUCCCAGCAGUGUCCUCCCCCCAAAAUAUUAGGCACCAGCUGUCAAAGACAUUACACCUCUCCCCACUAAUGUCCCCUCUCCCCAUUCACAACAUUUGGGCUCAAAUGUCAGCAGCCUGGGUGCCUAACACAGUACCAGGCCAGUGGUAGGGGGGUCACCUUCCAUUUCCAUUGAAAGGAUGGACAGGUAGAUGGUCAAAUAACAAAAUUGUAACCCAAUGCAAGCGACGGUUGUUUAUAACCUUUACUAAGAGAUUGUAUUUUGUUCCUAAUUAACCUGUUAACAGUUGUUGUAUCUUAUGGACCUUUGUAUGAUGUGUGUUGUUCGAAAACCAGGACUCUUGCUUCGGGUGUCACUUGAUGGAACUUUCGCUGUCCGAUUAACGAGUCAGUGUUUUGUGUUAGAAAUGAGAAUCCGGGGGGGCGCUUAACUAACUGUGUGGUGUUGGGCAAGUCCCUUCUCCUUCCUCUCUGACCCUCGGUCUCCUUUUCUCUAAGCUGUGGGUCACCAGAAAGCUUACCUCACAGGGUUGUUGUGAGGGCCCAGGGCUGCUAAUGAAAUGCUGGCUGUCACUGAGAACGGUCGCGUGUUGGGGGCUGUCUGGAAGGGAACAGGGAUGCCUUUCCUAGUUCCAAGAGAAUAAAAAGUCAGCCUUGACCUUAUGCUAAGAUUGUAUUUCCAACAGUCAGUGGGAUGUGUAAGGCAGAGGCCCAGCAGUCUGCAAGCGUUUAGCGAUGUGGGCCCAGGGUAAAUAUUGGUUUGGUUAAUGAGUGAUGGCUUUUUCCCUUCCUCGGAGCCUCCCUUCCUCUCCCCUCGCAUCCUGGGCUGCUGCUUGUUGCGUGCAGGGUGACUGCUUUGGGUUUGUCCUACCUGUCGCUGCCUGGCCUGUGGAGGGGCUUCUGCAGACGUCUGUGGGUGCCCCGGGGUGUUUCUUAGGGAGGAAGGCAGGGGGACAGUUUCGAGAGAGCCCGAGCAGGGUUUCUGGGUAACAUCUUUAGGGACUAAAACACCUUCUUCUGCCUUUUAAGGGAAAGGCCGGUGCUCCUAAUUUCCUCCGCCCGCUUCCUUCUUUCCCUGACUGUAAGGUAAAUAAAUGAGUCUUCAGCCCCCUCCAUGGGCCUGGAACCAAACUUGGGGCUGUUCCACGCCCACAAGCUCCCUGCUUGAUUGGCGUGUGGGCCCAUUUUACAGAUGAGGAAGUUGAGAAUCAGGGACCGCGGAGUGUCAGAGCCAGGACUGAACAGUCUGCCAUGAAAAGCCGGGGGGCACUCUUUCCACUUGGCCAAACAAGCCCUCCCAGUUACCGUGGCCAGCCUCUGCCAGCCCAAAUGUGCCCCAGUGUGUCUCUGUCCCCACCACACGCCUGGCAGUGCUCCCGUGCAGGUCACGUUCUCCAGAGCUCAGUGGGACCUGGAAACUUGGCCGAAUUAGAUACUGCCCUGCUCUGGAUGAAGUCCCAGGAGACACCCCUGCAGGGGUCAUUUUGGAUCGGGGGUCUCCACGUGACCACGGAAUUCCUUUCCUGGCCCUUGUCUCACAUGUGUGGGACAUCAGUGUUCUGCUAGAAUGGAACCAGAUUCCAUUCCAGGUGGGCUUGAGCUGGGGAUCUCGUUGAGUCCCUCCCUCCUGGCCCCUCCCUCUGUGGAAGCCUCACCACCCUCCUGGUUUGGCCUCUGCCUUUCACAGCUGCAGUGGGCUGUGUCUGCACCAUGGCCACCCCAUGUCCCUGAGAACGUGUCUGAAGCUCCCGAGGGGCGGGCCCCACGCUAGGGACAGGUUGAUAGGGUCCCCCUCCCGGUAGACUGUGGGUCUGUGUGUGGGUGUCUGCUCCCUGAUGGACCUCGGUCCUGUGUGACCCAGGGGGAAGGACUUUCUCAGGUGCCUGGUGUUUUCAGGGCCUCGUCCUCUUGAGGGGGGCAGGCCUGGGUCCCCGCCUCUCUCUGGAGGGCAGAUAGAAAGUCGAAGCUCAGUGAGGUCAUGCCUAAGCAGCUCUUAGACCCCCUCCCUGACUCUGAGACCUAUGCUUCUCUGACCCUCACAGCCCUGCUGUCUACACUAGUAGGUGCCGACUAGGCGCUCGCUGACUGAUAGGGCAGGUUUUAGUGGAUGUGAAAAGCUGAAUUGACUGUUGGCUGACGUACGUGUUGAAUCUGCAUGCGUUUCUGUAAGAGAAAAAGGUGUGUUUUCUUGGCAAAGACUCUUCAGGGCAAAUCCUGAGGGUCUUUGUCUGCGCUGGGGGCUCACCCCAGGGGGUGCAGCCCAGAGGGCGGCCGCCGGACGGACCCUCCUGAUGGAAAUAGCUGUCUUCUGAACAUUGUUGGAAAUAUUUAUAUCUAGAAUAAAACUUUAUUUGGGCUAAAA